Molecule: ribosomal RNA, 399 nt
Filed under: uncultured bacterium
Lineage: Bacteria
Description: bacterial SSU rRNA
Rfam family: Bacterial small subunit ribosomal RNA
Source: RNAcentral
GAUGAACGCUAGCGGCAGGCUUAACACAUGCAAGUCGAGGGGUAGAAGGAGCUUGCUCCUUUGAGACCGGCGCACGGGUGCGUAACGCGUAUGCAAUCUACCUUUUGCAGAGGGAUAGCCCAGAGAAAUUUGGAUUAAUACCUCAUAGUAUGUGAGGAUGGCAUCAUUUUCACAUUAAAGUCACAACGGCAAAGAUGAGCAUGCGUCCCAUUAGCUAGUUGGUAAGGUAACGGCUUACCAAGGCUACGAUGGGUAGGGGUCCUGAGAGGGAGAUCCCCCACACUGGGUACUGAGACACGGACCCAGUACUCCUACGGGAGGCAGCAGUGAGGAAUAUUGGACAAUGGGCGCGAAGCCUUGAUCCAGCCAUGCCGCCGUGCAGGAUGACGGGUCCUAUGG